Molecule: ribosomal RNA, 253 nt
Filed under: uncultured bacterium
Lineage: Bacteria
Description: partial 16S ribosomal RNA
Rfam family: Bacterial small subunit ribosomal RNA
Source: RNAcentral
UACGGAGGUGGCAAGCGUUAUUCGGAAUUAUUGGGCGUAAAGAGUUCGUAGGCGGGAGGUUAAGUUUGGCGUGAAAACCCUCGGCUCAACCGGGGGAAGCCGCUAAAGACUGGCCUUCUCGAGCCAGACAGAGGUCGGCGGAAUUCCGGGUGUAGCGGUGGAAUGCUUAGAUAUCCGGAAGAACACCGGUGGCGAAGGCGGCCGGCUGGGUCUGCGCUGACGCUGAGGAACGAAAGCUAGGGGAGCGAACGGG